RNAcentral lists this ribosomal RNA (403 nucleotides) under Actinomycetes bacterium. RNAcentral describes it as "Actinobacteria bacterium partial 16S ribosomal RNA". It matches the Rfam family "Bacterial small subunit ribosomal RNA", at positions 355 to 776 of the family's 1533-position model. Lineage: Bacteria; Bacillati; Actinomycetota; Actinomycetes. The record is from RNAcentral.
UGGGGAAUAUUGCACAAUGGGGGAAACCCUGAUGCAGCGACGCCGCGUGAACGAAGAAGGUAUUCGUAUCGUAAAGUUCUGUCCUAUGGGAAGAUAAUGACAGUACCAUAGAAGAAAGCCCCGGCUAAAUACGUGCCAGCAGCCGCGGUAAUACGUAUGGAGCGAGCGUUGUCCGGAAUUAUUGGGCGUAAAGGGUACGCAGGCGGUUUAAUAAGUCGAAUGUUAAAGAUCGGGGCUCAACCCCGUAAAGCAUUGGAAACUGAUAAACUUGAGUAGUGGAGAGGAAAGUGGAAUUCCUAGUGUAGUGGUGAAAUACGUAGAUAUUAGGAGGAAUACCAGUAGCGAAGGCGACAUUCUGGAGACAAACUGACGCUGAGGUACGAAAGCGUGGGGAGCAAACAGG